Molecule: long non-coding RNA, 3999 nt
Organism: Macaca fascicularis (crab-eating macaque)
Lineage: Eukaryota; Metazoa; Chordata; Mammalia; Primates; Cercopithecidae
Source: Ensembl
AUGAAGCACCUUGGAGUUCACAUACUGGUGAUUGUGCCAGACAAUGAGUAAUAAAAUAGGUAAGAAUGGCUGUGGGGAGGCUGGGCAUGGUGGCUCACACUUGUAAUCAUGUUGGUAGGCUAAGGCGGGCAGAUCCCUUGAGGUCAGGAAUUGAAAAUCAGCCUGGCCAACAUGAUGAAACCCCAUCUCUACUAAAAAUACAAAAAAAUUAGCGGGGCAGGCACCUAUAAUCUCAGCUACUCAGGAGGCUGAGGCAGAAUGGCUUGAACCAGGGAGGCAGAGGUUACAGUGAGCUGAGAUUGGGCCACUGCACUUUAGCCUGGCCAACAGAGUGAGACUCAGUCUCAGAGAAUGACUGUGGGGAAGUCGGCUGGGUUCUAGUUACAGUCACAUUUCAGGAAAGAAUUUAACAUGCUGACUUUCACGAACUAAGUGUUUUCUCCGUGUGUGCACGCAGGGUAGACCUCUGAAGAGUAGUGCUGUAACUUCUAGGGUAAUGGUUGUGAGUCAAGGCAGGAUGACAGUUCAGCCUCCUUCUAGGCUAGUGCAAAGGGCUCUUCACUCGGAUUAAAGCCUUCUCCCCCAGACUGAAUUGCCCACUCCCCAAAACCUCUCCUACAGAAAAUUUGGAGUCCUCGUUUAUUCCCUGACAGCUCCUUCCUAAUUGGGUGGUGAAUUAAUUAUCAAACAUGCAACAAAAGAUAUCAAAAGUUUAGCGAAAAUGGCGACAUUUUGGAAUAAAUGACUGUAAUGUACGUCCUGCCUGCCACCCUAACUGGCGCACGUUUUGCAGGUCAGUUGCUCUCCCUGGAAGCAGUAUGGCCAAGAGGAGGAAGAGUAUCUCUCGGAUUUCAGCUUGGAGGAGGCAGUUCAGGCUGCCAGAAUGGGACUAGCACUUCUGAAUAUCCCGAGAUGUCAGCUCCGCCUCAGGAAUCGACUGAGACUUUGACCCAGACUUUGGUUCCAUUCCUGGACACGGAUUCAGCUGGAGAGCUGCCCCCGGGGCCAGAGCAGUUAGCGGCUGCACACCAGGAUCUGGAUGACUCCCAGAGGUGGUUCCAAUGCUGAACUGGGAUCAGAAUCAGACCCUAGCUCGGCCUCUUCGCCUCAAAAGUAAGGUUCAAACUGCAGAUCUAGCUCAGGCUGCAGAUCAUCAGGCAGAUUAAAUUCUUUACUUCUUCCACCUCUAGAUAGUCAGAAUUCAGGCAGGGCGCGGUGGGUUACACCUGUAAUCCCAGCACUUUGGGAGGCCAAGGCGGGCGGAUCACGUGGUCAGGAGAUCGAGACCAUCCUGGAUAACACGGUGAAACACCGUCUCUACUAAAGAUACAGAAAAUUAGCAGGGCGUGGUGGCACGCACCUGCACUUACUCAGAAGGCUGACGCAGGAGAAUCGCUUGAACCGGGAGGUGGAGGUUGCAGUGAGCCGAGAUCACACCACCGCACUCCAGCCUGGGUGACAGAGCGAGACUGUCUCAAUAAAUAAAUAAAUAAAUAAAUAAAUAAAUAAAUAAAUAAACUUUAAAAAUAAAAUAAAAUAAAUAAGAAUUCAAAAGCAACCAAGUUUACUGUUGCCCAAGAACCUGAAGAAAGAUCUAGCUAAGCAUUGGAAGCUUGCUAAGGUUGUUGUUGGAACUCCACAUCUAUUUGUAUCAAAACUUCAGUGUCAGAAACAAACUUUGCAGGAUGAGUAUUUGGAUUCAAAUAUGGAUAUACUGUAUCCGGGCAGCCUGCCUCCAGAACUCCGGGUGAACUCAGAUGAGCCUCCAGGGCCUCCUGAGCGAGUCAGUCUUUCUCAACUCCGUCUAGAGCCCGAAACUCAAAAUCCAGAGACCCUUGAAGGGAUCCAGUCCUCUUCACUCCAGGAAGAAGCCCCAGAGCAGCUUCCACAGCUCCCUGAGGAGGGAGAACCUUCUUCAACCCAGCAGGAGGCCCCAGCUCUGCCCUGAGGGGGUCCACUCUUCUUCAACAGAGCGGGAGGCCCCAGCACAGCAGUGACCUGCCUCUGAAGAGAUGGUAGCUCUGCCAUUGAUACAUCAUGAGGUAAAUGUUCCAUUGAAAAGUUGGAGUGAAGCUCAGCACUGACACUUGCCCAGUGUCACAGUCAAACCUGUGGGUGUGGAGCUUGUGGUAACUCCAGAGCCAGGUAAGGAACUUACAUCAAGCCAGGAACAGGCCACUGCUCAGCCUCCAGAGCACACCAAGGAGAUGGACUCUUCCUCAACACAAUUAGAGGCUCCAGCUCGGACACCAGAGUGCCCUAAGGAGAGGAAACCCUCUGCAACCCAGCAAGGGACCCCAGCUGAGCCUCCAGAUCCUCCUGUGGAGGCUGAACUUUCCCCCAGUGAGCAAGCAGGAGCAGCCAGCUCAGCCUUCUGAGUUUCUUGUGGGGGCUGGGGGGUUGAACCUUCUGAGACCCAGCAGGAGGCCCCCGCUCAUCCUCCAGAGUCCUCUACAGAGAGUGCAGCUCAAACUCCACCAAAUCAUGAGGUGACAGUUCACCCUCCAGGUGAGGAUCAAGCUCAUUCUAACUUGCCCAGCAUUACAGCGUUACAGUGAAACCUGCAGAUGUGGAGAUCAUAACUUCAGAGCCUAUCGAGGAGGCAGCAUCUUCUCCAUCCCAGCAGGAGAUCCCAACCCAGCCUCCAGAGGAGGUGGAACCUUCUGCAACCAAGAAGGAGGCCCCAACUGAGCCUCCAGGUCCUCCUAUGGAGUGUGCACCUUCCCCCAGUGAGCAGGAAGAGCCAGCUGAGCCUUCUGAGUUUCCUGGGAGGUUGAACAUUCUGAGGCCCAGCAAGAGCCUCCAACUCAGCUUCCAGAGUCCUCUAUGGAGAGUGGAGCUCAAACUCCACUGAAUCAUGAGGUGACAAUUCAACCUCCAGGUGAAGAUCAACCUCCUUUUAACUUGUCCAGUGUUACAGUUAAACUUGUGGAUGUGUAGGUUACCAUAACUUCAGAGCCUACCAAGGAGACUGAAUCUUCCAAAGCCCAGCAGGAGGCCCCAGCUCAGCCUCCAGAGGAGUGGAACCUUCUGUAAGCCAGGAGGAGGCCCCAACUGAGCCUCCGGAUCCUCCUGUGGAGCCUGAACUUUCCGCCAGUAAGCAGAAGCAGCUAGCUCAGCCUUCUAUGUCUUCUGGGAAGGCUGAAUCUUCUCCAGCCAGCAGGAGGCCCCAGCUCAGCCUCCAGCACAUCAUGAAGUGACAAUUUCACCUCCAGGUCACCACCAAGCUCAGCAUUCAGAUUUGCCCAAUGUCACUAUUAGGCCUCCAGACAUGCAGCUCACCAUAGCAACAGAGCUUACUGCAGAGGUAGGAACUUCUCCAAUCCACCAGGAGGCUACAGCUCAGCUCUCAGGGCCAGGUAAUGAUGUAGAACCUUCUGCACCACCCAGCAUGGGGGCCCAUCUCUGCCUCUAGAGUCAUCAGAAGACACUGGACCUUUAGCAGGUCAACAGGAGACUUCAGUUCAAUCUCCAGAACCUGUUAAUAAUGAGAACCCCUCUCCAACCCAGCAAGAGGCUGCAGCUGAGCAUCCACAGACCCCUGAGGAGGCUGAGUCUUCUCCAGCCCAGCGAGAAGCCCAACCUCAGACUCCAGAUCCCCCAAAGGAAGUAGAACCUUCUCCAGUCCAGCAAGAGUUCUCAGCUGAGCCACCAGAGCCCCCUAAGGGUUGAACCAUCUGCAACCCAGCAAGAAGCCUCAGGUCAUCCUCCAAAGUCCACCGAAGAGGUCAGUCCUCCACUGCAGCGGGAGAUACCAGCUCAGCCAUCAGAGCCACCUGAGAAGGUCGAACCAUCUCCAGUCCUACAGCAGACCCCAAUUCAGCUUUUAGAGCCACCUAAAGAGGUAGAAUCCUCUCCAGUCCAGCAGGCAGGCCCUGCUCAGUCCUCAGAGGCACCUGUGGUGGUAGAACCCUCUCAGACCCAGCAGAUGGCCCCAUCUUCACCUCCAGAGCUCCCUCAGGAGGUGGAACCAUCUCUUAACUCAGCAGGGGGUUCCAG